This 621-nucleotide ribosomal RNA is filed under the name Inocybe sp. LM2623. RNAcentral's name for it is "eukaryotic LSU rRNA". The stretch from base 232 to 385 matches the Rfam family "5.8S ribosomal RNA". The record is from RNAcentral. Lineage: Eukaryota; Fungi; Basidiomycota; Agaricomycetes; Agaricales; Inocybaceae.
GGGGUAUUGUGCACGCUUGUCAUCUUUAUCAUUUCUCCAAAACUGUGCACAUACUUGUAGACCUGGAGUGGGCUUUUUUAUUUCGAAUUCAUAUUCGAAGUUGGGGGACUGCUGCGCUUUUUCAUACACAAAAAAAAGUCGGCUUUCCCUUGUAUUUUUAAUAACCAGGUCUAUGUUUUCACAAAAACAUAUAUGUUUAGAAUGCUAUAAUAAAUAAAAAAAGUUAUAAACAACUUUCAGCAACGGAUCUCUUGGCUCUCGCAUCGAUGAAGAACGCAGCGAAAUGCGAUAAGUAAUGUGAAUUGCAGAAUUCAGUGAAUCAUCGAAUCUUUGAACGCAUCUUGCGCUCCUUGGUAUUCCGAGGAGCAUGCCUGUUUGAGUGUCAUUUGACUUCUCUCAACCACAUCGAAAUUGAUGUGCGCUUGGAUGUCGGGGGUUUGCAGGCUUUCUUUUCUAAUGAAAGCUGGCUCCCCUGAAAUGCAUUAGUGGUGAUCUGAGCUGCUAUUGGUGUGAUAAAUCUAUCUAUGCCUUUGGUAAUGCUGGUCCAGCACCGCUUAUAACAACAAACAUUUGACAAAAUUUGACCUCAAACCAGGUAGGACUACCCGCUGAACUUAAGCC